AUGCGAUUUGCUGCAAAUGAGACUGCCAAAUCAGGUGGAGGUGCCGCAGCAGCAUCCCACGGCAGGAUCUUUAGGCCUGUUGCGCUGGUGGCGAACAGAAGGGAUAACUCGCCUAGUUGCCUUCGACCACCGCCCACCGGGCUCUCCACGGAAGAUAAUCCCCAGGCCCCGGCUGAAAUAAAAGGUGCUGAUGCUGGCUCUGGGAGGGGUACGAGGGGGCAGAACAAGAGUUGUUGUGUCAACAAUGCAGUGACAGGGGAUGGGACACCUUGCGAUGUGCCUGAAGCCUUGAUGCAAUAUGACCGCAAUGAGGUUGCUGGACAAUCAGACAUCCAUGAGCAUGAGGAUGAAGUGGGUAGGGGAUUGUGCGUGGUGUCAGGCUGGACGAGGAGUAAGAGUAACCUAAGGUUGCAGAUAGGCAUGGUCAGGACAUCGUGA
This 438-nucleotide ribosomal RNA is filed under the name Triticum aestivum (bread wheat). Its description in RNAcentral is "partial small subunit ribosomal RNA". Lineage: Eukaryota; Viridiplantae; Streptophyta; Magnoliopsida; Poales; Poaceae. The record is from RNAcentral.